AACGAACGCUGGCGGCAUGCCUAACACAUGCAAGUCGAACGAGACCUUCGGGUCUAGUGGCGCACGGGUGCGUAACGCGUGGGAACCUGCCCUUAGGUUCGGAAUAACUCCCCGAAAGGGGUGCUAAUACCGGAUAAUGUCUUCGGACCAAAGAUUUAUCGCCUUUGGAUGGGCCCGCGUUGGAUUAGCUAGUUGGUAGGGUAAAAGCCUACCAAGGCGACGAUCCAUAGCUGGUCUGAGAGGAUGAUCAGCCACACUGGGACUGAGACACGGCCCAGACUCCUACGGGAAGCAGCAGUGGGGAAUAUUGGACAAGGGGCGAAAGCCUGAUACAGCAAGGCCGCGUGAGUGAUGAAGGCGUUAGGGUUGGAAAGCGCUUUUACCCGGGAUGAUAAUGACAGUACCGGGAGAAUAAGCUCCGGCUAACUCCGUG
RNAcentral lists this ribosomal RNA (433 nucleotides) under uncultured bacterium. RNAcentral's name for it is "partial 16S ribosomal RNA". It matches the Rfam family "Bacterial small subunit ribosomal RNA", at positions 29 to 507 of the family's 1533-position model. The record is from RNAcentral.